RNAcentral lists this ribosomal RNA (783 nucleotides) under uncultured bacterium. RNAcentral describes it as "bacterial SSU rRNA". It matches the Rfam family "Bacterial small subunit ribosomal RNA", at positions 8 to 796 of the family's 1533-position model. The record is from RNAcentral.
AGAGUUUGAUCUUGGCUCAGGACGAACGCUGGCUGCGUGCUUAACACAUGCAAGUCGAACGCUGAAGCCUGGGUGCUUGCAUCUGGGUGGAUGAGUGGCGAACGGGUGAGUAACACGUGAGUAACCUGCCCCUGGUUUCGGGAUAAGCCCGGGAAACUGGGUCUAAUACCGGAUAUGACCAUGGGACGCAUGUUCUGUGGUGGAAAGUUUUUUCGAUUGGGGAUGGGCUCGCGGCCUAUCAGUUUGUUGGUGGGGUAAUGGCCUACCAAGGCGACGACGGGUAGCCGGCCUAAGAGGGCGACCGGCCACACUGGGACUGAGACACGGCCCAGACUCCUACGGGAGGCAGCAGUGGGGAAUAUUGCACAAUGGGGGAAACCCUGAUGCAGCGACGCAGCGUGCGGGAUGACGGCCUUCGGGUUGUAAACCGCUUUCAGCAGGGAAGAAGCCGUGAGGUGACGGUACCUGCAGAAGAAGUACCGGCUAACUACGUGCCAGCAGCCGCGGUAAUACGUAGGGUACGAGCGUUGUCCGGAAUUAUUGGGCGUAAAGAGCUCGCAGGUGGUUGGUCACGUCUGCUGUGGAAACGCAACGCUUAACGUUGCGCGGGCAGUGGGUACGGGCUGACUAGAGUGCAGUAGGGGAGUCUGGAAUUCCUGGUGUAGCGGUGAAAUGCGCAGAUAUCAGGAGGAACACCGGUGGCGAAGGCGGGACUCUGGGCUGUAACUGACACUGAGGAGCGAAAGCAUGGGGAGCGAACAGGAUUAGAUACCCUGGUAGUCC